UACCCCUAGCAAAUCUCAAAAAACCGUCUCAGUUCAGAUUGUCCUCUGCAACUCGAGGGCAUGAAGCUGGAAUCGCUAGUAAUCGCAGAUCAGCACGCUGCGGUGAAUACGUUCCCGGGUCUUGUACACACCGCCCGUUACACCAUGGGAGUUGGUUCUACCUGAAGCCGGUGAGCUGACCGCAAGGAGGCAGCCGUCCACGGUAGGGUCAGCGACUGGGGUGAAG
RNAcentral lists this ribosomal RNA (226 nucleotides) under uncultured Nitrobacter sp. Its description in RNAcentral is "partial 16S ribosomal RNA". It matches the Rfam family "Bacterial small subunit ribosomal RNA", at positions 1259 to 1485 of the family's 1533-position model. Lineage: Bacteria; Pseudomonadati; Pseudomonadota; Alphaproteobacteria; Hyphomicrobiales; Nitrobacteraceae. The record is from RNAcentral.